UUAAGUGACUAAGCGUACAAGGUGGAUGCCUUGGCAAUCAGAGGCGAAGAAGGACGUGCUAAUCUGCGAAAAGCUUGGAUGAGUCGAUAAGAGGCGUUUAAUCCAAGAUGUCCGAAUGGGGAAACCCAGUAGAUGAAGAAUCUACUAUCACUGACUGAAUACAUAGGUAAGUGAGGCAAACCGGGAGAACUGAAACAUCUAAGUACCCCGAGGAAAAGAAAUCAACCGAGAUUUCGUUAGUAGCGGCGAGCGAACGCGAAGGAGCCUGUUAGUGAUAAUGACAGAGACAGAGGAACAAGCUGGGAAGCUUAGCGACACAGGGUGAUAGCCCCGUACUCGAAGUCCAGGUCAUGGUACUAAGCUAACGACAAGUAGGGCGGGACACGUGAUAUCCUGUUUGAAGAUGGGGGGACCAUCCUCCAAGGCUAAAUACUCCUGAUUGACCGAUAGUGAACCAGUACUGUGAAGGAAAGGCGAAAAGAACCCCGGUGAGGGGAGUGAAAUAGAACCUGAAACCUUGUACGUACAAGCAGUGGGAGCCCUUUAAGGGUGACUGCGUACCUUUUGUAUAAUGGGUCAGCGACUUAUAUUUUGUAGCGAGGUUAACCGAAUAGGGGAGCCGAAGGGAAACCGAGUCUUAACUGGGCGAAUAGUUGCAAGGUAUAGACCCGAAACCCGGUGAUCUAGCCAUGGGCAGGUUGAAGGUUGGGUAACACUAACUGGAGGACCGAACCGACUAAUGUUGAAAAAUUAGCGGAUGACUUGUGGCUGGGGGUGAAAGGCCAAUCAAACCGGGAGAUAGCUGGUUCUCCCCGAAAUCUAUUUAGGUAGAGCCUUGAGCGGACACCUUCGGGGGUAGAGCACUGUUUCGGCUAGGGGUCCAUCCCGGAUUACCAACCCGAUGCAAACUACGAAUACCGAAGAGUGAUACUCAGGAGACACACGGCGGGUGCUAACGUCCGUCGUGGAGAGGGAAACAACCCAGACCGCCAGCUAAGGUCCCAAAGUCUAUAUUAAGUGGGAAACGAAGUGGGAAGGCUUAGACAGCUAGGAUGUUGGCUUAGAAGCAGCCAUCAUUUAAAGAAAGCGUAAUAGCUCACUAGUCGAGUCGGCCUGCGCGGAAGAUGUAACGGGGCUCAAAUAUAGCACCGAAGCUGCGGCAUCAGUAGCAAUACUGUUGGGUAGGGGAGCGUUGUGUAAGCGGAUGAAGGUGUGUUGAGAAGCAUGCUGGACGUAUCACAAGUGCGAAUGCUGACAUAAGUAACGAUAAAACGGGUGAAAAACCCGUUCGCCGGAAGACCAAGGGUUCCUGUCCAACGUUAAUCGGGGCAGGGUGAGUCGGCCCCUAAGGCGAGGCUGAAAAGCGUAGUCGAUGGGAAACCUAAACCGUACUGAAAACCGACACAGGUGGUCAGGUAGAGAAUACUCAGGCGCUUGAGAGAACUCGGGUGAAGGAACUAGGCAAAAUAGCACCGUAACUUCGGGAGAAGGUGCGCCGGCGUAGAUUGUAGUCCCUCGCGGGCGAAGGUUGAACCGGUCGAAGAUACCAGCUGGCUGCAACUGUUUAUUAAAAACACAGCACUCUGCAAACACGAAAGUGGACGUAUAGGGUGUGAUGCCUGCCCGGUGCUGGAAGGUUAAUUGAUGGUGUAAUCGAAAGAGAAGCUCCUGAUCGAAGCCCCAGUAAACGGCGGCCGUAACUAUAACGGUCCUAAGGUAGCGAAAUUCCUUGUCGGGUAAGUUCCGACCUGCACGAAUGGCAUAAUGAUGGCCAGGCUGUCUCCACCCGAGACUCAGUGAAAUUGAAAUCGCCGUGAAGAUGCGGUGUACCCGCGGCUAGACGGAAAGACCCCGUGAACCUUUACUAUAGCUUGACACUGAACAUUGAAUUUUGAUGUGUAGGAUAGGUGGGAGACUUAGAAGUAGUCACGCCAGUGAUUAUGGAGUCGACCUUGAAAUACCACCCUUUAACGUUUGAUGUUCUAACGAAGAUUGCGAAACGUGGUCUCGGACAGUGUCUGGUGGGUAGUUUGACUGGGGCGGUCUCCUCCCAAAGAGUAACGGAGGAGCACGAAGGUUUGCUAAUGACGGUCGGACAUCGUCAGGUUAGUGCAAUGGUAUAAGCAAGCUUAACUGCGAGACAGACAAGUCGAGCAGGUACGAAAGUAGGUCAUAGUGAUCCGGUGGUUCUGAAUGGAAGGGCCAUCGCUCAACGGAUAAAAGGUACUCCGGGGAUAACAGGCUGAUACCGCCCAAGAGUUCAUAUCGACGGCGGUGUUUGGCACCUCGAUGUCGGCUCAUCACAUCCUGGGGCUGAAGUAGGUCCCAAGGGUAUGGCUGUUCGCCAUUUAAAGUGGUACGCGAGCUGGGUUUAGAACGUCGUGAGACAGUUCGGUCCCUAUCUGCCGUGGGCGUUGGAGAAUUGAUUGGGGCUGCUCCUAGUACGAGAGGACCGGAGUGGACGCACCACUGGUGUUCCGGUUGUGUCGCCAGACGCAUUGCCGGGUAGCUAAGUGCGGAAGAGAUAAGUGC
Molecule: ribosomal RNA, 2532 nt
Filed under: Parahaemophilus parainfluenzae
Lineage: Bacteria; Pseudomonadati; Pseudomonadota; Gammaproteobacteria; Pasteurellales; Pasteurellaceae
Description: Haemophilus parainfluenzae bacterial LSU rRNA
Rfam family: Bacterial large subunit ribosomal RNA
Source: RNAcentral